RNAcentral lists this ribosomal RNA (468 nucleotides) under uncultured bacterium. RNAcentral describes it as "partial 16S ribosomal RNA". It matches the Rfam family "Bacterial small subunit ribosomal RNA", at positions 28 to 507 of the family's 1533-position model. The record is from RNAcentral.
GACGAACGCUGGCGGCGUGCUUAACACAUGCAAGUCGAACGGAAAGGCCCUGCUUUUGUGGGGUGCUCGAGUGGCGAACGGGUGAGUAACACGUGAGUAACCUGCCCUUGGCUUUGGGAUAACUUCAGGAAACUGGGGCUAAUACCGGAUAGGAGCUCCUGCUGCAUGGUGGGGGUUGGAAAGUUUCGGCGGUUGGGGAUGGACUCGCGGCUUAUCAGCUUGUUGGUGGGGUAGUGGCUUACCAAGGCUUUGACGGGUGGCCGGCCUGAGAGGGUGACCGGCCACAUUGGGACUGAGAUACGGCCAAGAUCCCUACGGGAGGCAGCAGGGGGGAAUAUGGAACAAUGGGCGGAAGCCUGAGGCAGCAACGCCGCGGGCGGGAUGACGGCCUUCGGGUUGUAAACCGCUUUCGCCUGUGACGAAGCGUGAGUGACGGUAAUGGGUAAAGAAGCACCGGCUAACUACGUG